This 910-nucleotide ribosomal RNA is filed under the name uncultured bacterium. RNAcentral's name for it is "bacterial SSU rRNA". It matches the Rfam family "Bacterial small subunit ribosomal RNA", at positions 33 to 924 of the family's 1533-position model. The record is from RNAcentral.
ACGCUGGCGGCGUGCCUAAUACAUGCAAGUCGAGCGAAGUUUUUCUGGUGCUUGCACUAGAAAAACUUAGCGGCGAACGGGUGAGUAACACGUAAAGAACCUGCCUCAUAGACUGGGACAACUAUUGGAAACGAUAGCUAAUACCGGAUAACAGCAUUAACUGCAUGGUCGAUGUUUGAAAGUUGGUUUUGCUAACACUAUGAGAUGGCUUUGCGGUGCAUUAGCUAGUUGGUGGGGUAAAGGCCUACCAAGGCGACGAUGCAUAGCCGACCUGAGAGGGUGAUCGGCCACACUGGGACUGAGACACGGCCCAGACUCCUACGGGAGGCAGCAGUAGGGAAUCUUCCGCAAUGGGCGAAAGCCUGACGGAGCAACGCCGCGUGAGUGAAGAAGGAUUUCGGUUCGUAAAGCUCUGUUGUUAGGGAAGAAUGAUUGUGUAGUAACUAUACACAGUAGAGACGGUACCUAACCAGAAAGCCACGGCUAACUACGUGCCAGCAGCCGCGGUAAUACGUAGGUGGCAAGCGUUGUCCGGAAUUAUUGGGCGUAAAGCGCGCGCAGGUGGUUUAGUAAGUCUGAUGUGAAAGCCCACGGCUCAACCGUGGAGGGUCAUUGGAAACUGUUAAACUUGAGUGCAGGAGAGAAAAGUGGAAUUCCUAGUGUAGCGGUGAAAUGCGUAGAGAUUAGGAGGAACACCAGUGGCGAAGGCGGCUUUUUGGCCUGUAACUGACACUGAGGCGCGAAAGCGUGGGGAGCUAACAGGAUUAGAUACCCUGGUAGUCCACGCCGUAAACGAUGAGUGCUAAGAGUUGGUCUCAUAAGAGAUCAGUGCUGCAGCUAACGCAUUAAGCACUCCGCCUGGGGAGUACGACCGCAAGGUUGAAACUCAAAGGAAUUGACGGGGACCCGC